Molecule: ribosomal RNA, 253 nt
Filed under: uncultured bacterium
Lineage: Bacteria
Description: partial 16S ribosomal RNA
Rfam family: Bacterial small subunit ribosomal RNA
Source: RNAcentral
UACGUAGGGAGCAAGCGUUGUCCGGAAUCAUUGGGCGUAAAGCGACCGCAGGCGGCCUGACAAGUCGGAUGUGAAAGCCCUGGGCUCAACUCAGGAAUUGCAUUCGAAACUGGCAGGCUCGAGUACGGGAGAGGGGGGUGGAAUUCCUGGUGUAGGGGUGAAAUUCGUUGAUAUCAGGAGGAACACCGGCGGCGAAGGCGGCCCCCUGGCCCGCAACUGACGCUCAUGGUCGAAAGCGUGGGGAGCAAACAGG